RNAcentral lists this ribosomal RNA (694 nucleotides) under uncultured bacterium. Its description in RNAcentral is "bacterial SSU rRNA". It matches the Rfam family "Bacterial small subunit ribosomal RNA", at positions 32 to 715 of the family's 1533-position model. The record is from RNAcentral.
AACGCUAGCUACAGGCUUAACACAUGCAAGUCGAGGGGCAGCAUGAACUUAGCUUGCUAAGUUUGAUGGCGACCGGCGCACGGGUGAGUAACGCGUAUCCAACCUUCCGUACACUCAGGAAUAGCCUUUCGAAAGAAAGAUUAAUACCUGAUGGUAUGAUGAGAUUGCAUGAAAUCAUCAUUAAAGAUUUAUCGGUGUACGAUGGGGAUGCGUUCCAUUAGAUAGUAGGCGGGGUAACGGCCCACCUAGUCGACGAUGGAUAGGGGUUCUGAGAGGAAGGUCCCCCACAUUGGAACUGAGACACGGUCCAAACUCCUACGGGAGGCAGCAGUGAGGAAUAUUGGUCAAUGGGCGCGAGCCUGAACCAGCCAAGUAGCGUGAAGGAUGAAGGUCCUACGGAUUGUAAACUUCUUUUAUAAGGGAAUAAAGUCACCUACGUGUAGGUGUUUGUAUGUACCUUAUGAAUAAGCAUCGGCUAACUCCGUGCCAGCAGCCGCGGUAAUACGGAGGAUGCGAGCGUUAUCCGGAUUUAUUGGGUUUAAAGGGAGCGUAGACGGGUCGUUAAGUCAGCUGUGAAAGUUUGUGGCUCAACCUUAAAAUUGCAGUUGAUACUGGCGUCCUUGAGUACGGUUGAGGCAGGCGGAAUUCGUGGUGUAGCGGUGAAAUGCAUAGAUAUCACGAAGAACUCCGAUUG